GCACAAGCGGUGGAGCAUGUGGUUAAUUCGAUGAUACGCGAAGAACCUUACCGGGGUUUGACAUGCAGGUGAUCGCCGUUGAAAGACGGGUUUCCUCUUCGGAGGCACCUGCACAGGUGCUGCAUGGCUGUCGUCAGCUCGUGUCGUGAGAUGUUGGGUUAAGUCCCGCAACGAGCGCAACCCUUAUCCCCAGUUGCCAUCAGGUAAAGCUGGGAACUCUGGGGAGACUGCCGGUGAUAAACCGGAGGAAGGCGGGGAUGACGUCAAGUCCUCAUGGCCCUUACAUCCCGGGCUACACACGUGCUACAAUGGCAGGUACAGAGGGCUGCGAAGCCGCGAGGUGGAGCGAAUCCCAGAAAACCUGUCUCAGUCCGGAUUGAAGUCUGCAACUCGACUUCAUGAAGGCGGAAUCGCUAGUAACCGCGAAUCAGCAGGUCGCGGUGAAUACGUUCCCGGGCCUU
RNAcentral lists this ribosomal RNA (461 nucleotides) under uncultured Latescibacterota bacterium. Its description in RNAcentral is "bacterial SSU rRNA". It matches the Rfam family "Bacterial small subunit ribosomal RNA", at positions 923 to 1382 of the family's 1533-position model. The record is from RNAcentral. Lineage: Bacteria; Pseudomonadati; Candidatus Latescibacterota.